This 277-nucleotide ribosomal RNA is filed under the name uncultured bacterium. Its description in RNAcentral is "partial 16S ribosomal RNA". It matches the Rfam family "Bacterial small subunit ribosomal RNA", at positions 28 to 307 of the family's 1533-position model. The record is from RNAcentral.
GAUAAACGCUGGCGGCGUGCCUAACACAUGCAAGUCGAACGUCCUUGGUGUCUUCGGACAGCAAGGGAGUGGCGGACGGGUGAGUAACACGUGGGUACCUACCCUGGGGUGAGGAAUACCGGCGAGAAAUCGCCGACAAGACCGCAUACGCUCUGCUUCUUUCGAGGGAGAGCAAAGCCGAAAGGCGCCCUGGGAUGGGCCUGCGGCCGAUUAGCUAGUUGGUGAGGUAAGAGCUCCCCAAGGCGACGAUCGGUAGCUGGUCUGAGAGGACGAACAG